GGGGGGGGGGGGCGGGGGGCCGAGCGGGUGCGAGUCGGGGGGCGGCGCGGUAGGAGCUUGCUCUUACGGGUGGCGAGUGGCGGACGGGUGAGGAAUACAGCGGACUCUACUUUUUCGUGGGGGAUAACGUAGGGAAACUUACGCUAAUACCGCAUACGACCUACGGGUGAAAGCAGGGGAUCUUCGGACCUUGCGCGAUUGAAUGAGCCGAUGUCGGAUUAGCUAGUUGGCGGGGUAAAGGCCCACCAAGGCGACGAUCCGUAGCUGGUCUGAGAGGAUGAUCAGCCACACUGGAACUGAGACACGGUCCAGACUCCUACGGGAGGCAGCAGUGGGGAAUAUUGGACAAUGGGCGCAAGCCUGAUCCAGCCAUACCGCGUGGGUGAAGAAGGCCUUCGGGUUGUAAAGCCCUUUUGUUGGGAAAGAAAAGCAGCAGGUUAAUACCCCGCUGUUCUGACGGUACCCAAAGAAUAAGCACCGGCUAACUUCGUG
RNAcentral lists this ribosomal RNA (492 nucleotides) under uncultured bacterium. RNAcentral's name for it is "partial 16S ribosomal RNA". It matches the Rfam family "Bacterial small subunit ribosomal RNA", at positions 38 to 507 of the family's 1533-position model. The record is from RNAcentral.